RNAcentral lists this ribosomal RNA (377 nucleotides) under uncultured bacterium. RNAcentral's name for it is "bacterial SSU rRNA". It matches the Rfam family "Bacterial small subunit ribosomal RNA", at positions 523 to 898 of the family's 1533-position model. The record is from RNAcentral.
ACACGUAGGGGGCGAGCGUUGUCCGGAAUUACUGGGCGUAAAGGGCGUGUAGGCGGCCUUUCAAGUCAGGUGUGAAAUUCCAGGGCUCAACCCUGGGCGUGCACUUGAAACUGGGGGGCUUGAGUGCAGGAGAGGAAAGUGGAAUUCCCAGUGUAGCGGUGAAAUGCGUAGAUAUUGGGAGGAACACCAGUGGCGAAGGCGACUUUCUGGCCUGUAACUGACGCUGAGGCGCGAAAGCUAGGGGAGCAAACAGGAUUAGAUACCCUGGUAGUCCUAGCCGUAAACGAUGGGUACUAGGUGUAGGGGGGUUAGACGCCCUCUGUGCCGCAGUUAACACAUUAAGUACCCCGCCUGGGGAGUACGGCCGCAAGGCUGAA